UACGUAGGGGGCAAGCGUUGUCCGGAUUUAUUGGGCGUAAAGAGCGUGUAGGCGGCCACACAGGUCAGCUGUGAAAACUCGAGGCUCAACCUCGAGACGUCGGUUGAAACCGUAUGGCUAGAGUCCGGAAGAGGAGAGUGGAAUUCCCGGUGUAGCGGUGAAAUGCGUAGAUAUCCGCAGGAACAUCCGAGGCGAAAGCGGCUUGCUGGAUCGCAACUGACGCUGAGGGACGAAAGCUAGGGGAGCAAACAGG
RNAcentral lists this ribosomal RNA (253 nucleotides) under uncultured bacterium. RNAcentral describes it as "partial 16S ribosomal RNA". It matches the Rfam family "Bacterial small subunit ribosomal RNA", at positions 524 to 776 of the family's 1533-position model. The record is from RNAcentral.